This 472-nucleotide ribosomal RNA is filed under the name uncultured bacterium. RNAcentral's name for it is "bacterial SSU rRNA". It matches the Rfam family "Bacterial small subunit ribosomal RNA", at positions 330 to 793 of the family's 1533-position model. The record is from RNAcentral.
CUGUGACUCCUACGGGAGGCAGCAUGGGGGAAUAUUGCACAAUGGGGGAAACCCUGAUGCAGUCCAUGCCGCGUGUGUGAAGAAGGCCUUCGGGUUGUAAAGCACUUUCAGUAGGGAGGAAGGUAGUGUAGUUAACACCUGCAUUAUUUGACGUUACCUACAGAAGAAGCACCGGCUAACUCCGUGCCAGCAGCCGCGGUAAUACGGAGGGUGCGAGCGUUAAUCGGAAUUACUGGGCGUAAAGCGCAUGCAGGCGGCCUGUUAAGUCAGAUGUGAAAGCCCGGGGCUUAACCUCGGAAUUGCAUUUGAAACUGGCAGGCUAGAGUCUUGUAGAGGGGGUAGAAUUUCAGGUGUAGCGGUGAAAUGCGUAGAGAUCUGAAGGAAUACCAGUGGCGAAGGCGGCCCCCUGGACAAAGACUGACGCUCAGAUGCGAAAGCGUGGGGAGCAAACAGGAUUAGGUACCCCUGGGAG